Lotus japonicus is the source of this 1289-nucleotide long non-coding RNA. RefSeq lists it as uncharacterized. The transcript has 3 exons. Lineage: Eukaryota; Viridiplantae; Streptophyta; Magnoliopsida; Fabales; Fabaceae. The record is from RefSeq and is a predicted model, not a curated record.
ACCGGUUGACAUGGAGGAAAAAUGAGGAAGAUUACUCGAGUAUGCAACUUGCUUAAUGUAGUGUUGAUAAUUGUGUAAGUUGAUAAUUGUGUAAGUGUUUGACAUAAAUGUUUAUGCUUCGCUUCCUAAAGGUUUUUUGUUGCUGAAUUUGAUUGACCUAAUUAGUGAGCACUAUAUUUGGUAGUGUUGAUUCAAUUCCUAAAAGCCAUGUCCUUUAAUUUUCUCUUAAUUUGUUCAUUGUUCCCUAUUUUGUGAUGCUUUCUCUUAUGCAACCCUUAUUCUGAAUGUUCUUAAUAGGCCAAUUGAUAGCAGACUUACAUGCUUUUAUCCUUCCCAUUGCAAGUUUAUUUGAUGCAAAAACUUCAUCUACAAUGUCAGCAUCAUGAAGGCAGAGAAACUCUUCCAGAAGAAGGGACGUCCAACAAAUUUGACCCAGGAUCUCAGUUAAAGAAAUGAGAUUUAGGCAAUUUCCUAUUUUGCUCAAGAAUGUUUGGGGUUAUGGUCCGGGAACUGCAUCUUUAUAUCCGUCACAUCCAUGAGUAUUAGUUGUACCCAUAGCUGCAUCUUUAUAACUCAUAAGUUACAUUUAGUUUGGCUUCAUAACUGAUACUUGAACUUUUGCUUAGUGGGAAGCAAGCCUUAACACAGUUAAUGAGCUGAAUGGAAAGGGAAUGUGGAUAAGGAGAAUGAAUCAUAUAAAAUUUCCUUAUUUUCAUUCACCAAUUUAUGGCCUUUGCUCUUGCUAUCUCAUUUCUUGCUGAUAAAUUUAUAACUACUGAUUUGUGUUGAUUUUGGAUCUUAGAAUUAUUAAUCUGAUCAAAUAAGUAACUUUUCCAGCAUGUGGUUCAUUAUACUUUUCGUCUCCAUUUUUUUACUGAAAUUCUUGAUCUGAUGUGGAAUGGGGUUAGGAUAUAAGAUUGGUGGCAGAAUGAACAGUUCUUGGUUCAUAUAAUGAGGAUAGGGACUUUGCUGAGCUCUAUGGACAUCACUUCUCAUCCCAAUUUUAGAGUAAAAGAAAGACAUUGAUGCUCCCAACUACCAAAGAAGCAUGACGAUGAUUGAUGAUAUGAUGGAUUUGCAAGAAAUUGAGCAUGAGUUCUACACCAAGAAUAGUAUAAAAUGUGUUAUUCUAAAUACAGUUGGUGGCUACUAUACAGCUCUAAAGGACCACACUUCUUGAUAAAUGGUGGCAAAAAAGAGCAUGCAAAGAUCAAUGUUUGUUGUAAUGAUGUUUCAAGGUGUUGCCACCUAUGUAUAAGUAAAUCCUUCUCCUAUUUUGACAUGUGUUA